This 508-nucleotide ribosomal RNA is filed under the name uncultured bacterium. RNAcentral describes it as "partial 16S ribosomal RNA". It matches the Rfam family "Bacterial small subunit ribosomal RNA", at positions 28 to 523 of the family's 1533-position model. The record is from RNAcentral.
GAUGAACGCUAGCUACAGGCUUAACACAUGCAAGUCGAGGGGAAACGACAUUGAAAGCUUGCUUUUGAUGGGCGUCGACCGGCGCACGGGUGAGUAACGCGUAUCCAACCUGCCCACCACUUGGGGAUAACCUUGCGAAAGUAAGACUAAUACCCAAUGAUAUCUCUAGAAGACAUCUGAAAGGGAUUAAAGAUUUAUCGGUGAUGGAUGGGGAUGCGUGUGAUUAGCUUGUUGGCGGGGUAACGGCCCACCAAGGCGACGAUCAGUAGGGGUGCUGAGAGGAAGGGCCCCCACUUUGGAACUGAUACACGGUCCAAACUCCUACGGGAGGCAGCAGUGAGGAAUAUUGGUCAAUGGACGAGAGUCUGAACCAGCCAAGUAGCGUGCAGGAUAACGGCCCUAUGGGUUGUAAACUGCUUUUAUAAGGGAAUAAGGUGAGUCUCGUGAGACUUUUUGCAUGUACCUUAUGAAUAAGGACCGGCUAAUUCCGUGCCAGCCGCCGCAGUAA